RNAcentral lists this transfer RNA (69 nucleotides) under Boulengerella maculata (spotted pike-characin). Its description in RNAcentral is "tRNA-His". It matches the Rfam family "tRNA". From Rfam's summary of the family: Transfer RNA (tRNA) molecules are approximately 80 nucleotides in length. The record is from RNAcentral. Lineage: Eukaryota; Metazoa; Chordata; Actinopteri; Characiformes; Ctenoluciidae.
GUGGAUGUAGUUUAAACAAAACGUUAGAUUGUGAUUCUGAAAAUGAAGGUUAAAAUCCUCUUAUUCACC